RNAcentral lists this long non-coding RNA (314 nucleotides) under Zea mays. RNAcentral's name for it is "long non-coding RNA (ZMAY_LNC002093)". Lineage: Eukaryota; Viridiplantae; Streptophyta; Magnoliopsida; Poales; Poaceae. The record is from RNAcentral.
UGGUGGUUGGCUAGGCAAUGGUGGUUGGCCAGGGAGGAAAUUAGUUUGAGGAUUCGCAACAGGCUGCAAAAUUCCAAACAUCAUCUAUCAGUAUGCAGAUCAUGAUAUCUAAUUAUCAGGACCAUAUGGAUUUGGGAUAGAUCUUACAUGAAACAUUGGUUGUUGUAAAUUGUGCCGCGGAGCAUUUGCAUGAGUCAACCCAAAUGAAUUUGGUACUUGUGAAUGCAUCUGAUGAGGAAAGGGCGGCAUAGAUGGUGGCCUUGACAAUUGGGGCAAAGGUGGUUGCAACUGUUGAUUAUAUAUUGCAGGACUUU